AAGUUGUAACUGAUCAUCGAUAUGCAGGUUUCGUUCCGGCGACUGGAAGUCUUCACCGUAAUUGUUCCGUUCGUGUUUCAAGUCCAUUUCUGCAGCUGGAGUUGAACAAGGAGAUGCUGUUAGUGUGCAUUAUGAUCCUAUGAUUGCUAAGCUUGUUUCGGGAGAAAAUCGUGUUGUUUGAGGUUUAUGUUCAAGAGGUUUCUGACUUUGGCUUAGCUUUUUUAAUUGACAGUGUGCUAAAAUUGUGUAGAGUAAACAUUUUGCAGCUAAUUUUCAACCCUUCAAAAAUUCAAAUUCCUACAAAAUCACUGAGGUCAUUUCUCUUUCAGGCUUUCCUUCACGGUUUUUAAAAUGUGUUUGGUGAGGAGGGGUUUUCACACCCUUAUAAAGAAUGCUUCGUUCGCCUAA
Long non-coding RNA from Cucurbita moschata (crookneck pumpkin), 408 nucleotides. RefSeq lists it as uncharacterized. The record is from RefSeq and is a predicted model, not a curated record. Lineage: Eukaryota; Viridiplantae; Streptophyta; Magnoliopsida; Cucurbitales; Cucurbitaceae. The transcript is spliced from 3 exons.